UGGGGAAUAUUGGACAAUGGGCGAAAGCCUGAUCCAGCAAUGCCGCGUGUGUGAAGAAGGCCUUCGGGUUGUAAAGCACUUUGAUCUGGGAAGCGGUACCAGAGGAACAAGCACCGGCUAACUCUGUGCCAGCAGCCGCGGUAAUACAGAGGGUGCGAGCGUUAAUCGGAUUUACUGGGCGUAAAGCGUGUGUAGGCGGUUCGUUAAGUCGGAUGUGAAAGCCCUGGGCUCAACCUGGGAAUUGCAUUCGAUACUGGCGAGCUAGAGUACGGUAGAGGGCGGCGGAAUUCCGGGUGUAGCGGUGAAAUGCGUAGAUAUCCGGAGGAACACCGAUGGCGAAGGCAACCGCCUGGGCCUGUACUGACGCUGAGACACGAAAGCGUGGGGAGCAAACAGGAUUAGAUACCCUAGUAGU
RNAcentral lists this ribosomal RNA (415 nucleotides) under uncultured bacterium. RNAcentral's name for it is "bacterial SSU rRNA". It matches the Rfam family "Bacterial small subunit ribosomal RNA", at positions 355 to 794 of the family's 1533-position model. The record is from RNAcentral.